CCUCCUUUAUGACGGAGGGGGUACACCUCGGCGCGAUAUCGCUCGGUCCAGUACCCACGCUCUGUGUGUGGGGAGUCGCGAAGCAGCCCCGCAUCCCCUGCCGAAUGCCGAACCGCUCCUGGUGGUGACAGGGCCAAGCACCUACGACGUGGAGAGGUGAGCGCGGCUUACUGCCACUGAUGUCGGCGGCGGGGUCCUGGGUGGCGCUGCCUCGGAGCGACCUGCGGCUGUGAGUAGGUCUUUAUCACCCAUAUGGUGGGCAGGGCGUCCACGUGACCCGCGCGUAUCCGACCGGGCCCUCACACGGCGCACUGGUGUGUGUGGGUGUGGGGGCCGAGCCCCCCGAGGGGCGGGAACGCACCAGGCGAUGGGGCGUGUGGCCGGCCGGUGGGCAGAGCGGCGCCGGCCUCGUGCACCCUGGCGGAGAAUGGCCGCGCGGAAGAGAGAGCUCGCACGUACGCCUCUUCCGCUGCGCUCCCUGGCGUUCCUCUCUGUGCCCCAUUUCCCUCGACCCUUUCCCAUCUGCUCUCACGGACUCUCUCCCACGGCAUGCACACGAGCACGCCCACAG
This 571-nucleotide unclassified non-coding RNA is filed under the name Leishmania donovani. Its description in RNAcentral is "gene:unknown". The record is from RNAcentral. Lineage: Eukaryota; Euglenozoa; Kinetoplastea; Trypanosomatida; Trypanosomatidae.